RNAcentral lists this long non-coding RNA (613 nucleotides) under Olea europaea (common olive). Its description in RNAcentral is "long non-coding RNA (OEUR_LNC007324)". The record is from RNAcentral. Lineage: Eukaryota; Viridiplantae; Streptophyta; Magnoliopsida; Lamiales; Oleaceae.
UUUGGUUCAAUUUUGGCUCGGCUUGUUUGAGGUGUUGAUUGAUUGGAGUAUAUACUGAGUCUUGAAAAGCUUUGAUGAUCUCCCUUAGGCAUAACAUCUAGUAUUAGAGCCUCGUAUGGGCCUUUUUCAGCCAAAAAUAAUUGAAGGCAUCCAAGUCGCGCUAUUUUUUGAAUGAAACGAACCUGAAAUUGUCGAUUUCAGCCAAACCAAUCACCGGCCGAAGAAACGGAUUCUUAUAAAUGCUCAGCAGGUAGAGGCACUCCUUUCUAGGUGGCUCGUUGAGGUAGUUGCUGCCGAUGGCGUCGCGUGGGCAGCAAUUCUAGAGAAGCAGUUUUCAAACAUGUUGUUUGUUUUAUUAUUCUGAACAUACUGAUAUCGUUAAUUUCGUGUUUCAGGUUAUACAAUAAAACUUAGACGAUUUUGUCCAUGGACACUUGACUUGCGAUCUUUGGUCAAUCAUGUUGGUACAUCCACUGAAACUUUAAGGCGACUAGUAGUGACCCUAAAGCGAUAGAUUCACAUCUCUCGAUUUUACGAACCUUUAAAUGUGGUCUACUCUGGUAAAUUGGUAUAUCUCAUUUUAUUUCCAACACUAGCGCAUUAUCAUAUGGGG